CGCGAAAACUUUACACUGCGGGAAACCGUGAUAAGGGGACACCGAGUGCCAGCAUCAUAUGCUGGCUGUCCAGGUGUGUAAAAUACACCUGUUAGCAAGGGCCGGGCAAGACCGGUGCCAGCCGCCGCGGUAACACCGGCGGCCCGAGUGGUGAUCGUGAUUAUUGGGUCUAAAGGGUCCGUAGCCGGUUUGGUCAGUCCUCCGGGAAAUCUGACGGCUUAACCGUUAGGCUUUCGGGGGAUACUGCCAGGCUUGGAACCGGGAGAGGUAAGAGGUACUACAGGGGUAGGAGUGAAAUCUUGUAAUCCCUGUGAGACCACCUGUGGCGAAGGCGUCUUACCAGAACGGGUUCGACGGUGAGGGACGAAAGCUGGGGGCACGAACCGGAUUAGAUACCCGGGUAGUCCCAGCCGUAAACGAUGCUCGCUAGGUGUCAGGCAUGGCGCGACCGUGUCUGGUGCCGCAGGGAAGCCGUGAAGCGAGCCACCUGGGAAGUACGGCCGCAAGGCUGAAACUUAAAGGAAUUGGCGGGGGAGCAC
RNAcentral lists this ribosomal RNA (539 nucleotides) under uncultured archaeon. Its description in RNAcentral is "bacterial SSU rRNA". It matches the Rfam family "Archaeal small subunit ribosomal RNA", at positions 340 to 879 of the family's 1478-position model. The record is from RNAcentral.